CCACAGUGCAUCAGUUUUAAAGGUUUAAACUGGUCUGAGCCAGACUUAGACAGACUUAUCCACGCAUUUAUCUGGACCAGGUUAGACUAUUGGACCGGCCUUCUGACUGGACUGUAAACCAGCUGAAGACAGCUGUAGUCCAUCCAGAACACUGCUGCUGGGGUCCAGACUAGAACCAGGAAGGACCACCAUAUUAGUCCUGUUCCAGGUCUGUGCACUGGGGUCCAGACUAGAACCAGGAAGGACCACCAUAUUAGUCCUGU
This is a long non-coding RNA of Sphaeramia orbicularis (orbiculate cardinalfish), 263 nucleotides long. RefSeq lists it as uncharacterized. The transcript has 4 exons. The record is from RefSeq and is a predicted model, not a curated record. Lineage: Eukaryota; Metazoa; Chordata; Actinopteri; Kurtiformes; Apogonidae.